Molecule: non-coding RNA, 207 nt
Organism: Pelobates cultripes (western spadefoot toad)
Lineage: Eukaryota; Metazoa; Chordata; Amphibia; Anura; Pelobatidae
Source: the annotation of a GenBank genome assembly
GAAGGGCUACUAAACUGGUUCAUGGAUUGCGGGAUAAAACUUACCAGGAAAGGUUAAAGGAUCUUAACAUGUAUAGCUUAAAGGAAAGACGAGACAGGGGGGAUAUGAUAGAAACAUUUAAAUAUAUAAAGGGAAUCAACACAGUAAAGGAGGAGACUAUAUUUAAAAGAAGAAAAACUACCACAACAAGAGAACAUAGUCUUAAAU